UUACCCACUCCCGGCACGGGGAGGUAGUGACGAAAAAUAACGAUACGGGACUCAUCCGAGGCCCCGUAAUCGGAAUGAGUACACUCUAAACCCUUUAACGAGGAUCAAUUGGAGGGCCAGUCUGGUGCCAGCAGCCGCGGUAAUUCCAGCUCCAAUAGCGUAUAUUAAAGUUGUUGCGGUUAAAAAGCUCGUAGUCGAAUUUGUGUCUCGUGCCGCCGGUUCAUCGUUCGCGGUGUUAACUGGCGAGUCGCGAGACGUCCUGCCGGUGGGCUUAGCCCGCAAGGGCGGCCCAACUCAAUCCUGCCGCGGUGCUCUUCAUUGAGUGUCGAGGUGGGCCGGCACGUUUACUUUGAACAAAUUAGAGUGCUUAAAGCAGGCUAAAACUUCGCCUGAAUACUGUGUGCAUGGAAUAAUGGAAUAGGACCUCGGUUCUAUUUUGUUGGUUUUCGGAACCCCGAGGUAAUGAUUAAUAGGAACGGAUGGGGGCAUUCGUAUUGCGACGUUAGAGGUGAAAUUCUUGGAUCGUCGCAAGACGGACAGAAGCGAAAGCAUUUGCCAAAAACGCUUUCAUUGAUCAAGAACGAAAGUUAGAGGUUCGAAGGCGAUCAGAUACCGCCCUAGUUCUAACCAUAAACGAUGCCAGCUAGCGAUCCGUCGACGUUCCUCCGAUGACUCGACGGGCAGCUUCCGGGAAACCAAAGCUUUUGGGUUCCGGGGGAAGUAUGGUUGCAAAGCUGAAACUUAAAGGAAUUGACGGAAGGGCACCACCAGGAGUGGAGCCUGCGGCUUAAUUUGACUCAACACGGGAAACCUCACCAGGCCCGGACACCGGAAGGAUUGACAGAUUGAGAGCUCUUUCUUGAUUCGGUGGGUGGUGGUGCAUGGCCGUUCUUAGUUGGUGGAGCGAUUUGUCUGGUUAAUUCCGAUAACGAACGAGACUCUAGCCUGCUAACUAGGCGUAUUUUGACAUCCUAAAGGCCCGCCGGCUCGGGG
This 993-nucleotide ribosomal RNA is filed under the name Otiorhynchus ovatus. Its description in RNAcentral is "SSU rRNA". It matches the Rfam family "Eukaryotic small subunit ribosomal RNA", at positions 441 to 1416 of the family's 1831-position model. The record is from RNAcentral. Lineage: Eukaryota; Metazoa; Arthropoda; Insecta; Coleoptera; Curculionidae.